UGUGUAGGCGGUUCUUUAAGUUUGCUGUGAAAUCUCCCGGCUUAACCGAGAGGGUGCGGUGAAUACUGAGGGACUAGAGUACGGGAGAGGAAAGUGGAAUUCCUGGUGUAGCGGUGAAAUGCGUAGAUAUCAGGAGGAACACCGGUGGUGUAGACGGCUUUCUGGACCGUAACUGACGCUGAAACACGAAAGCGUGGGUAGCAAACA
This 207-nucleotide ribosomal RNA is filed under the name uncultured bacterium. Its description in RNAcentral is "partial 16S ribosomal RNA". It matches the Rfam family "Bacterial small subunit ribosomal RNA", at positions 568 to 774 of the family's 1533-position model. The record is from RNAcentral.